GGGCUGGUCGUCUAACGGUUAUGAUGCAUCGUUCGCAACGAUGAGGCUCCGGGUUCGAUUAGUUUGCGCUGGCGUGAACAGAUGAGAGCGCAGCUCGACUUUCCCGGCCAGUCCA
This 115-nucleotide transfer RNA is filed under the name Candidatus Woesearchaeota archaeon. RNAcentral's name for it is "tRNA-Ala". Lineage: Archaea; Nanobdellati; Candidatus Woesearchaeota. The record is from RNAcentral.